AUCAACACUUCACAGUGUUCUCAGUUUCUAAUGAGAAUGAGAUCACAGGUAAUGUUCAUUUAAGACCUUCAAAAACACUCCACUUCACAUAACUGUUUUAUGAACCAGUGCUCACUUUGUGGAAGCACCUCACUAUGUUCAAGCACCCACCUGGGGAGCGCUUGUUCAUUACCUUUGGCGAUACUUAAACAUAAUGCCGGUAUUACUUUGGCUAAUACCUUCAUUUUAAGCAUUUUUGUGACUUGGACCGGUUUAGUGCAUUUUUCUAUCGGUGAUUUUAAACAUUUGAACGACAAAGAGGAACUGCAGUGAACUAAAGCAAGAAAAGAGGUUCAAUUUUCCUCAUUUCUAACUUAUAUAAACUAUAAGACACACACGCAGUCUUUAGGAGUGUGGGAAAAUGCUGAAAAAGACAGUCCCUUAAUGGAGCAAUAAACCCUGGUUAUAUUUAACACACAAAUCUGAGGUUAUUCUGAAGUGUCUGCGGUGAGUUUCAGCUCUUUGUUUUGGUUAUGACACCCUCAGAUUUAGAUUCGCUUCUACAGAUCUCACCUGUUUCCAGCUGUAGUUCAGAGUCUCUCUAAAAAAAACACCAGAAAUAUUCAGGCGAACUAAACAGAGGCCAACAUGAAUGAACAGUUUAUGGCAGGACCGUCCAGGAUGAGAUUGUUUUAGUUUUUGUUCUCCUUUUUUCCAGUCCUGUUCUUGUUAUUUUUCUUCUUGUUCUUGUUCCUGGAGUUUUUUUUUCUUUUUUUCUUUUUCUUGUUUUUGCGCUCAGUUCUAGUUCUCUUCUUUUCCUACAUAUGUUUGUGUUUCUAUUCCUGUAUUUGUUCUUGCUUUUUUUCUGUGUCUUACUAUUGUUCUAGUUCCUAUUCUUGAUUUUGUUCUUGUUUUAGUUUUUCGCAUUGUUCCUAUUCUUGUUAUAGUUUUUGUCCAGUUGUUUUUCUUGUUUUCGUUCCUGUUCCUGUCCUUGUUUUAAGUCUUCUUUCUUGACUUGUUCAUCUUCUUGUUUGCAUCCUUGUUCUUGUUUUUAUUUUUUAUAAUGUUCCUAUUUUUGUUUCUGUUCUUGUUUUUGAUCUGGUUUUUGUUUUUGUCCCUUUUUUCUCUCUGUUCUUGUUUUUGCCCUUUUCUUGGUUUUGUUCUCAUUUCUUUUGUUGCUCCUCUUGGUCCUGUUCUUGUUAAAGAUUUGCUUUAGCUCUGUUUUGUUUGUGUUCCUGUUUCUUUUUCUGUUCCAAACCUUUAUCAUUCUUUAUUAUAUUGCUUUAUUUUUCCCUCCUGCUCUCAUUCCUUUUCUUUGUCCUUUAGUUUUUUUGUAACUCUUCUUUCAAACUUGUUAUUCUUUCUUUGGUUCUCUAUAUUUGGUCUUUCCUUAAUUGUUCUGAUUCUCAUUUUUCUCAUUUAGUUAAUCAUUUUUCCUUGUUUUUCUUUUUCCUCUUAUUUUUGGUCUUCCGGUUCUUCUUAUUCUUGUUCUUUCUUUGUAGUUUAUUUGUUUAUUUUCCUCCAUGUUCUUGUACUUGUUCUUUUUUUUGCCUUCUUUGAAAUUUUUUCUUGUUCUCUACUUUAAAAAAUUUCUCCUGAGCUGUAUUUUUAGACCUUUUUAGACUUUGUAGGAUAUGACAACCAAGAAGAGACAGAAAAAAGGGCAGUAGAGAUGCUGGGGAGACGAAACAAAGUGCCAUGGCUGGGAAUUGAACCACUGUCAUCUCCAAAAAGGGCUACAGCCUUUCUAUACGGGGCACGUUUAGACCACAGGGCCAUCAACACCCUAGUUUUUUUAUUUUUUCCUUUUCUUUGGUUCUUGUUCUUGUUUGUUUUAGUUUUUUCUUUCUUUUUGAGCUGUCUUGGGAAUCUUUGAAAAACUCAUUAUUUUAACAAUGAACAAAAGACAAUCUCAGUCAGGAGGAAAUCCUCACACACAAAUUUAUGAUAACAAAAACAGCUUUCUUGUUUACUAAUGUUGUCAAAUAGAAUUAGUAUUAUGAAAUAUCGCUGUUACCUCCAACAUCAAUCCUGUAAACCUACGAAAACUGUGCCGUUCCCUAAAUCAAACACGGAAAACCAUCUUCCACAAAACAAAACAGCUUCAGUCCUCGGCUCUCUACAAAUUUUGAGUUAAAUAUGAACUAUAACUAAUGUGUAAGUAAUGUACGUAAGUGUUGGAUAAAUUGCAGAGAAGAAAAGGAGAAUAAGUACUAAGAGGUAGAGAGUAAAGAGGAGGGUGUGUUUGAGUAUUUGUGAAAGAGGGAGAGAUGGACGGACAUGAAACAGACAGAAAUAAAGAGAGAGAGGGAGGAUAUUGCUGGAUAGCGUGAAGACAAUAAUGCAAACUGACACUUUUGAAAUGAGAUGCCGGUUACCUUGGCAACAGGCCCUGGGCAAGGGGCUACCGGGAUGGGGUGAGGACCAGUGAGGGUGAGCGAGUGCAGGCGAGAGGGGCUGCAGAGAGUGCUGAGAUAGCGAGUAAAUGAUGUUUGAUUAGAAGCGCAAUGAUUUAAAAGCGAGCAGAGGGAGGCGCGUGUGUUUACAUGUUCAGCAGCCAGAGGAGGACAGGAGUGUCUGCGGAUACGAGGACGGAGACAUAUGAAGAUGUAGAACUCCACAGGAAGCAGGUCGGCACUCAGACGAGCCUCUGAAGGGUUCGCAGUGCAGAUGUUUACCUGGGGAAGCUCUACAGCUCCACUCAGGUCACAGAAACAAACAGCAUGAGCUUUAAUGUGGUACACAGUGUUGGAGACAUCACUGUAAUAUAGGUUAUUUAAAAAUAACAGUAGAGCAAGACGCCAGGUGAGUUAUGUCACCUAAACAUACAGGAUAGCAAUACUUCACAAAAACAGGUGAUUGUUAUGGUGGCUUUUUAUUGAAGCACUGUACGCUAGAUCUUCUCUGCAACAAUGAAACAAAUAACUUGUCUCAACAUGCAAACUCCAGAGCAUUCCUCAGAGGGAUCCCUAGUUACUGCGACAGCUUUUACACUUUUCAAGAGUUCAACUUUGUUUACUUUCUCUUUUUCAAACAAGCCUUGAAUUUGGGCAGGGUGAUAAACCAAAAAUUUACAAAUACAAAUGUAUGACAAUAACCAACAUCAUUUUGCCCAUGUCAAUAUAUUCAGUGUAAAAAAAAAAUCAAUAAAUAGAAGUAGGUUUUGGAUGUGUGUAGGUAGGCUAUGGUCUCAUGUCCCUUUAAGACAUUAUCCUACAUCAGAGACGUGACCUGACUGCGUAUGUGUGCCUUAUGUCAAUGUGGCGCAUUUCCGCCGUUAGUAACAAGACGUAAACAUGGUGUCUUACACAACUACUUUGAUGGAUACAGUCUUUUCGUGCUUUCAUGCUUGAUGAUCAUGUAUAGGGCUGGGUGAUAUGGCCUUAAAUCAAUAUCACGAUAUAUUGAGCAGUUCACCUCGAUAACAAUAAAUGGACGAUAACUACUCCACAAGCUGCUCACCCCCUCCCACAUUAACUUCAUCUACUUCAGCCGCUACAACUUUUGAACCGUCCUCCCUCUCCUCACCUGUCUUUCCCUCUGUGUUACGAACUGGAUGGGGUGAAGUCAUGUCUCUGAUGUAGGACAGCGUCUUAAAGGGACAUGAGACCAUAGCUUACCUACACACAUCCAAAACCAACUUUGAUUUAUUUAUUUAUUUAUUUAUUUUGACACCAAAUAUACCGAUAUGGGCAAAAUGACAUUGGUUAUAGUCGUAAAUGUCGGUAUCUGUAAAUUUUCGGUUUAUUGCCCAGCCCUACUCAUGUCUGCUAGGAGCAAUAUAACCCCUCUCAGAACCUGGCUCGGGUCUAUUCUGAGUGGAGGGAAAAAUCCUGAAUCGGAUGAAGUGAGCCACUAUAGCGUUUGUUGGUUUGUUGACAGCACAGUCGUAAAUACAACUCUUCUUCUUCUGUGGUUGUUUAAGUGAAUCAGACAACUCUGCGCAUGUCCAAUUGCUUCUAAUCUGAUCAAAACUUCACGUUACGAUCGGAUUAUUUGGUUUUGUGCCCAUAUAAACUGUGGAUUUGGAUGAUUGAAAGAAAUUUUGCACGUGUCACUUGUAUCUUUGAUCAUCUGCGGCUAAAUAACCAUUGACUAUUCAGAUCUAAGUUUUAACUGGAUUCAUGGGACAGAGGACAAUUUUCUUAAAUCCUGUUUUCUUUGUGUUCACGUUGGUUGAAGUAAAUGCAGAUGAAGAAAAAGUGCUGAACUUAUGUUCAAUUAUGCAAAUGUAUCCUGUAACUCUUGAGCUCACAGUGUUAUUACAGUUGGGUCCUUUCCACCUUUUAAAGAUUAAUUUGAUUUUAACCCAGCGCUAAUACUCACAGCAGACUUUUAUGAAACAAACACUGAUCAAACAGGGACAUUAUCUCUUGGACUGAAUGGUGAAAUUGUUGUGAGGCCUCAGAUUCAUUUCCACCUGUCAGCCACCAGCGAGGCUGUUACACAAUGUUAGAUCGCUUCAUUUAAUACAUCCACACAAUGCUGCACAUGUGACAUGUAGAACGACUCCAGACAUUUUUAAUUCAGACAUUAUGGGCUACUUUUGAAGCACCACAAUGAGGCAAGUUGUCACCGUUUUUCAGCUUUAUGCGGCACAAGUCGACUGAAACGAGCGGCAAGUCGCUUAUUUUCUAAUCUCGAGGAGAAAUAGAGCUGCCAUGUUUACUGCCUUUAUGCAAAAUAAGGAUUUACAGGCAAGAGCUUUUCUGUUUUUGUAUUAAAAAUAAAGUUAAUUCAAGAUAUCAAAUGAAGCUUUUACAGGAAAGGAUACUGUGAUUUAUUAAAGACACAAACAUGUGACCUGCAGAUGUAGUUUUGGCAUCAAAUAGCAGGUUCAAGCCCCGUAAGAGAGAGUGAAACCUCAUACAGAUAAAAGUUUAAAGGAAGUUUAUCAAAAAUAAAAAAACCCAAAUAAAAAAAAUCCCGUAAAUAGAUCUACAUCUUUUAAAAAAGCCAGGUAAAAAGGCAGGGAUCAGAAAACACUGAGGCUUCAAUCUUUUCAAUAUUAAUUGGUGUUUUCAUGUAAGUUGAAAAGUCAGAGCAGGACUUUAUCAGCGGAAAAAGCCAAAACUAUAACCACUGAAACCUGCACACAACCUUUCUCUAAACCCGUCUGACACCAGCAGGAAUACCAGUGAAUAUUUUAAAUAAAAAAUGGGUCAUGGCUGCAUGAUUCAAACACCAAAUAACCUCACUUUGUAUUCAAACUCAGACUCAAAGAUUUCAAAGAAAAAAAAAAAAAAACAAGUGGAGCAAAAUUACACAAAAAUCUGUACGGUGUUAUUCAAAAGAAUUUUUUUUUUUCUGUUUUAGAUGAUUUAAUAUCAAUUUGGAUAUUUUGUACGGAGUUUCUCAUAAAAAGGGGAUGGGUGCAAAAAAACAAAAGGGGCUUUGAUAAAUUAAAAAAGGUUUUAAUACAAUCACCUUAAUCUUUUAUUUCAUAUUAUAACAAAACAGCAACAGCAGCGGAUAAGAAAAGUGCAGAAGAGGUGCAAAACCCAAAAGGGAAAAAGAUUUAAAAAGUGCAUAUAAACAAAGAAGACUAGUAAUAAAAAAGACAGAAUAAACAUCAGUCAGAGCAAAAAACACACAUUUUUAAAAAUAUUAUAAACAAACUACACAAGCAUAAAAUCUGCUGUAAAUGACCAAGUUCAGGCUGAUCUGGUUAGUGAUUCCAACGUUUUGGACCUCGAUAACAAACAGUAAAUUGUCCUUGUUACAGAAACUAUCAGGUCACAGAUGCAUUCUUGAUGAAACACAAAAACAAAAUUUUAUAAAAAUAUGAAGCAUUUAAAGAUCUUUGAACCUGUGUCUCAGAAAAUGUCGCUGUUUCUGUCGGGUGAAAAGAUGUUUGAGGUUUGAAAAGAAAGAAUACAUCAAAGUGCAACAAACAGAAAGUAAAUAUUUCUCUGUAAAACUUGACUGAUUCAUCAGUGAAACAGACACUUCAGUAAUUCAGCUAAAACAUGAUUAGAUGCAGAGCCAUCUUUUUCAAUGGUUACUCUAUAUCUGCUCUUGGGUUCAAAUAGCAUCUAUUGUGUGUUGAGAAAUAAUCUACAGUUGUGAAAGCAUUCGUAAAAUGAGCUAAGUGUAGCAUUAAUUUUGUUCAUGAAAUUCUGACUAUUUUUGUCAGACAGGAAAACACAAGUAUCAUCAGCAAAGAGGAUACAAAACAUGUCUUAAUACGAAGGAGCAAGGGACCAAGGACAGAUCCUUGGCGUUCUCCGCAUAUGAGAUAAACUCACCACAAUGUUCCUGUCCUUUACUUUGGGGGGUAAAAUAAUGUUUUAUAGUAUUUUAAUGAAAGAAAGCUCACGCCUGAAUUGUCAUCAGUCAUUAUGAGUCUUUACGGCUUUAAAUAUUCUGUCUCUCUGGAUGCUAACUGUGCCGAUAUUAGGUGUUAUCAUGCCUUUUACUUACUGUAAAAUCCACUCACUCUGGAAGGCCGUCAACUUUCUGGUGUGAAACUCUGUGUUUCAGAAACACCCUGAAGCUUUUUUUUAUCUAACAGAUAAUAUCAGAGUGUUUCCGGAUAAUAUUCAGAUCCAGGUCUUUAAAAAACAAAAGUGAUCUGUGAUGAUUUAUGUGUUAAUGUUGAUGAUACAGUGUUAUUUUUGUUAUAGCAGACUGUGCUAGACGGGGGCUGCCAUGUUUGUUUUGGUUAAAACUGAGUCUGCUGAGUCAGCUGGUCUGCUAUCAGCUGACCUGUCAAGGUCACGGUCUUCUCUCAGUAUAGAAAUACAAAAAAUAGAACUGUUUUGAAUGGAUUCAUCCUAUUCAGCUCAUUCUUGUAUGUAUGUCUGUUUACUACUACUCAGAGGCUUCAUUCACAGAAGUAAUUAUUUAUUAUUUCAUCUCUAAAUGAGAAUCUCAUUUAGAGAUCGAGAUAUUAUUAACUUAACUGAAUUUAUUUAGAUUAUGUGUCUGUUUUAUGAUCACUUUUAAUUAAUGUAGCUUUUGGUAUGAAUCAAGGUCGGUCUUUUAAAGGUGUUUUCCUCAGAAUUUGUCUUAAAACGGAGGAGUUGUCUUAUAAUCAGGGCUUACUUUUCUUCGAGUCAGUACAGUAGUAUUGGAAUUACAGUUAUCUGUUACUCUGUCACUUGUUCUUCACAACACUGCUGGUAAAUACUGGGGAAAAACUUGCAAUAAAUAACGUAUUGUUGUAAAUCUGAUGUAUGUUUGCAGGAUACCAGAUUAUCCAAUGUUGAUGCUUUUAAUUCAGUGCGCCACUAACCCUAUUAGACAGUUGGUGUAAAAUCAUCCCAGCAUGUAUCAGGUUUGCUGCUUUCUUAAAUAAGUGAGCAGUGUGAGAAAAUUUUGCAGGAUUGCAUCAAGUAGACGAGUAAUUAUGCGUCAGUGCAGGAGGCGGCCAUCAUUACACAGCUGGUCCAUUUAAAGUGCUGAUAGCAUGUUAGCACUGUGUUGCUUACUUCACAAUAAAAAGUCCAUCAAACAACAGGGGGUUAAAAAAAUGACAAGAGCACCUGCGUUAGAAUUUUUUAUUAAAUCAGCCUGAUUUAGGACGAGAUCAAUUUCCAUCACUUUUGAAUUAUAAAAGUGUAAAUAUGUCAUCAUGGAUCCACUAACCUUCAAUCACUGUGGUGAAAACCUUCAGAGAUGAUAAAAAAAAAUCAUCAUCAAAAAGCCGUUACAGGAGACGGACAAUUAAAACUUGCAAAUAAACCCAUAAAGAAAUAAAUUAAAAGCAAACCAAGAAUACUAAAUUCAAAUUUAUAACAUCACAUUCAGCAUAAAUUUGAAAGUAAAUAUUAUCCUAAUCAUGUGUACAAAGUUUGUAAUGAAUUGUGUGUUGCCUCCACGAGCGCACGACACACCCACCUACACACACACACACACACACACACACACACACACACACACACACACACACGGGCGCCACAGUGUAGUACACACAAACACACGACACACACACACACACGCACACGCACACACACACACACACACACACACACACACAGAAGCAGCAGAAUUGAAUGCGAUAGGGAAGUGAAAAAUGAUUAACCCGGGGUCAGCUCUCAGCCUCAAUCUCGGCAGCGCUCAAAGAACAUCCUCGCCUGAUUUACACUCGUCAUGUUCCACAGCACACAUUUGCAUAUAUUUAUUAAAUUCACCACGCGUUGGAGAAUAAAAUAUAACAGGGUGGAGGGGGAGAGAAGGGGAGGCGGGGGAGGGAGGGGGUUAUUUAAAGGAGGCGUGUUUCUGAUAGAUUUGCCUUUCAUUCAUAUUCAUUUUCUCUCUGGCUCUCUGUGUUUUGUUCAUUAGCAUGGAGGUCAGUGAAGGCAUCAGAUGGGACUGCUUAACGCUGUAGGGAAAACAUUGCUGUUGGUCAGCCUAUUGAAUUGACCUUGUUAUCAUUGUGACAGCCUGUGUUAUUUAUCAGUUAGUUAGAUAAGCCGGCGUGCAGGAUGGUGAUAGUCCAGCACAUGAAAAUAAGUCACAAUAGUGACAAACACGACGACUCGGGGGUGUUUUCACGCGUGCUCACUAAACUCUUAAAUCUCAAAAUUCACAAAAAAAGAGUGGAAAAGAAAAUAUGACCUGUUUGUAAGUUUUAAAAUAUUAUUUCAGUGCUAUUAUGCAUUUUUAAAUUUGGCACCGGGGUCAGUUGGUUAUAAAUCUACAAUUUAUACAAUCUAAAAUUGUGUAAAAACUAUUAGCUGCAUUCUUAAAGUAAAAAUGGUCCAGAUAUUUAUACCUUGUAUUAAUUCGUGUGAUCUGUUUUGUAUCCUGGCAAAAGUUUAAUCUGAAAUUUGCUGGUCCUGAGGCGCUACUAACCUCGCAGUCUAAGCGCCUCAUGCUCUCAAACUGCCUGGGUUUAAAGCCCAAAAGCCCCCCACAAAAAAGGUUUAUCUUUCUAAAACCACAAACCUUUAAACAUCAAAUGCUAACAUGCAUACAACGGAUGUAAUCUUGCCAACAUGCUGAAAUUUAAAUAGAAAAGGUGGCUAACAUUAAGGCUUGUGAAUAUCACCAUGUCAGCUAAACAAGAACGAGCCCGUAAAAAAAAAAUGCAUUGUCAUCAUUAGCAUAACAAAUGUGCUAACUUUAUAGCUUACCCAGCUAAUGUGAAACUGCUACUGCACAAAAGUUACUUUAGAUGUACUUAACAGAAUGAUAAAGGUGGUGAUGGGGGAGAUUUAACACAAAAAAAUUUUACUAAAGUAACUUAGUUCGCUAGUAUGCUGAUGUUCUAAACUAGCAUUGCAGCGCGCUAAUUUAUGCAGAAGGAGUUUCGCAAUUUCAGUUUCUUUCUGAGUUUGUUUGUGUGCUAAUAUACUAAGAAAAACUGUUAAACAAAAGGACAUUAUAAAGACAGGCAUGUAACAUUGGGGUGUUAGCAUACCAACAAUGAUGAUUAAAGAAUGUAACAUGGUCAAAAUUUCACUCAAUAAACCUGAACAUCACUGUGAGCACAGGCUUACUGUAUUUUUCGCACUAUAAGGCGCACUUAAAAUCCUUUUGGCUUGUCGGAACACUGCAGCUACCGUAGCCUCGCGGAGUUAUUGAAUGAAUAAAUAAAGUUUGAAUCUGACUGUAAAGUUUUUAUCUGACUGAUUUGUUUGGCUUAAUGUGCUUUAUAAUCUGGUGCACUUUAUAAUCCGACGCGCCUAUGUAUGAAAAUAAACGCGAGUAGACAUGUUUAUUGAUGGUGCGCCUUAUAAUCAGGUGCGCCUUAUGGUGCAAAAAAUAUGGUAUAUACACUCACCGGCCACUUUAUUAGGUACACCAUGCUAGUAACGGGUUGGACCCCCUUUUGCCUUCAGAACAGCCUCAAUUCUUCGUGGCAUAGAUUCAACAAGGUGCUGGAAGCAUUCCUCAGAGAGCUUGGUCCAUAUUGACAUGAUGGCAUCACACAGUUGCCGCAGAUUUGUCGGCUGCACAUCCAUGAUGCGAAUCUCCCGUUCCACCACAUCCCAGAGAUGCUCUAUUGGAUUGAGAUCUGGUGACUGUGGAGGCCAUUUGAGUACAGUGAACUCAUUGUCAUGUUCAAGAAACCAGUCUGAGAUGAUUCCAGCUUUAUGACAUGGCGCAUUAUCCUGCUGAAAGUAGCCAUCAGAAGUUGGGUACAUUGUGGUCAUAAAGGGAUGGACAUGGUCAGCAACAAUACUCAGGUAGGCUGUGGCGUUGCAACGAUGCUUAAUUGGUACCAAGGGGCCCAAAGAGUGCCAAGAAAAUAUUCCCCACACCAUGACACCACCACCACCAGCCUGAACCGUUGAUACAAGGCAGGAUGGAUCCAUGCUUUCAUGUUGUUGACGCCAAAUUCUGACCCUACCAUCCGAAUGUCGCAGCAGAAAUCGAGACUCAUCAGACCAGGCAACGUUUUUCCAAUCUUCUAUUGUCCAAUUUCGAUGAGCUUGUGCAAAUUGUAGCCUCAGUUUCCUGUUCUUAGCUGAAAGGAGUGGCACCCGGCGUGGUCUUCUGCUGCUGUAGCCCAUCUGCCUCAAAGUUCGACGUACUGUGCGUUCAGAGAUGCUCUUCUGCCUACCUUGGUUGUAACGGGUGGUUAUUUGAGUCACUGUUGCCUUUCUAUCAGCUCCAACCAGUCUGGCCAUUCUCCUCUGACCUCUGGCAUCAACAAGGCAUUUCCGCCCACAGAACUGCCGCUCACUGGAUAUUUUUUCUUUUUCGGACCAUUCUCUGUAAACCCUAGAGAUGGUUGUGCGUGAAAAUCCCAGUAGAUCAGCAGUUUCUGAAAUACUCAGACCAGCCCUUCUGGCACCAACAACCAUGCCACGUUCAAAGUCACUCAAAUCACCUUUCUUCCCCAUACUGAUGCUCGGUUUGAACUGCAGGAGAUUGUCUUGACCAUGUCUACAUGCCUAAAUGCACUAAGUUGCCGCCAUGUGAUUGGCUGAUUAGAAAUUAAGUGUUAACGAGCAGUUGGACAGGUGUACCUAAUAAAGUGGCCGGUGAGUGUAGUUGCUGCUCUGGUUGUGCUAACUGUGAUAUGUUGUAGUGGUGGGCAAAACCAUUCAUUUCAGUGAACCGGAUCAUUCCGGGUCAUUCAGUAAAAAGACCCGUUCAUUUUGGUCAUUUCGGUCAAUCGGUCGUUAGUCAGUCCGCUCGUUCAUGUUGUUCACGUUCGUGAAUGAACGUGAUGAGCGAACGGACUGACUGCACUUCAGACGCAACAGCGCAACAACAUGUGAUCUUGAAUUCUGAAGCAUUACACCCCUCCGGAUCCGAUGUUGAGAGCGUCUCAGCUCCCCGGUCCGACGUUACGACGCCCCCGCGGUCCGACGCUGUGACCGCUGCACUCCCCACUUCCCAUCCCCGGUCCAACGCUGCGAUCGCGCUGCACUUCUUGUUAUAUAAAAUGAUAGUAGGAAUAACAAAAUAUAUAAGGUUUUUAAUGUUUUUUAUUAUUUUGAGGUGCAUUAAAAACAAUAAUAAAAAGUACAAAAUGUCAACAGACAGUGCAAAUGCGUAUUAAUAGUUGUCUCUCUGCCUCUGGCUGCAGCAGCAGCUGUGUGCCUUUGUGUGUGUGAGACUGUCCCGCUCGCUCGGGCUCGGCUGUCGGCUCGUGCGGCGGCCAGUCAACUCGGUCUUUCAGUCAACUCGUUCAUCGGUCUGGAUCUUUCGUUCACUCGGUCUUUCAGUCAACUCGUUCAUCCGUCUGGGUCUUUCUUUCAUUUAACCCGUUCUUUUGUUCAACUCGGUCUUUCGUUCAUUUAACCCGUUCUUUCAGUCAACUCGGUCAUCCCGGUCUUUCAGUCAGCUCAGUAGUACUGCUGCUGCUUCUCUAAGCCCCACCCACACACAGAACGAGGCGCGACGAUAGGAUAAGACAGGCAAGCACGGAGAUAGUCCCUCUUCAGCCAAUCAAAAGAACUGAACGGACUGAACGGGUCAUUUAGGGGGGGAGAACUAGUUCAUUUCGUUCACCAAAAAGAACUAGUUCUUUUGAUCUGUUCGUUCAAGACCGACACACGGUUUUUUAUCAACCAAAAUGAUCAAUAUCACACCUUUAGAUCAGUUCGUAUUGAUUUUAUUGGUGUCUUUGUUGUGGUACGGCUGCACAGAGCACUCAACGCGGACUCUCUGUUUGUGUUUGGAUAAGCAGUUUGCUUGAAUUGUUAAAAUAAUGAUAAAAAAAAAAACAACAAUCAAUUAUCAGGCUGAUAAACAGGCUCAUUAAGUAAAAAUUAAGUCUGCCAGGCUUGUUGAAAACACUUUUACACAAGAUGAUUUUUCCCAAAGUAGAGAGAGGUUUACUCUCCACCCACUGCCUCUACAAACACAGUAAUUAAUUCAGCUUUUCCCUUUUUGUUACAGUUUGAAGAUUCUCACUGUUCAGAUUUCAUUUUGAUUAAUCUCACCCAAAAAACUAAAAACCACCCCCCCUUUAUGCUCCCUAUACCAUCCACCCCCCUCCUCCUCCUCCUCCUCCUCUUCCCUCUUUCUCCUCAUACCUACUGAUGUGAGCAGCCGUGGCAGGCCGGAUCAAUAGGGCUGAAACCUGUCCAGAGCUUUAAUCCAUCAGUGGUGAGCUGGGAGGAGAGACAGGGCAAGGAAGCCAUCACUCACACCCAGAUCUCACCCCUCUCUUCCUCCGCCUGCUAAAUGGACAUCUGGAGAAUAUUGUCAAGGAGCUUUUUUUUUACAGUCAAAUGUGGCUUUGUGCUCAUUUACCUUACUCUGAAAGGAGCUUAAUGUUGCAUUUGGAUGAACGUAAAUUCACCCACACAGCAACACCUACUGUAAUCUGACAUAAAAGCUUUGACUCACUGAAGUUGAAAAUUUGACUUUACUUAAGAAAUAACCACAUUUCUGAGGUAGAGUUCACUCUCUUUAUGUCUCUCCUACACAAAAAUAUUUCUUCAUAUUUUCCACUAACGCUCAUUAUUUUCCUCACGACCCGUAUAUUUCCCAUUCUUUGUUCUUAGAAACCAUUUAAACAUUGAUUGUUAGGAUAAGUGUAGACCUGUAUGCAAAAGUUUCUCUAUAUGAAACAAUAGCUGUUUAUGAGAACCUCAUUAAUGCUGACUAUGCAGUUUGCUUUUCAAAGUCUCUGUUAAUGUAAAGCAAUCAUAGUUUCUAAACUAAAGGUUAUAUGUGUGUGAAUAAGAGCGUACAAUAAUAAUAAUAAUAAACUUUUACAUUUUCUUUAUACCUGUAUGCAGGAGCCUGUUGUGUAUCUUUUUAUGUAUAUACUUAUGUAAAAGCCUCUCUGCAGCCUCAUUUGUCAACAGAGCUGUCAAUCAUGAUGUCACAUCCCCUUCUGGUUUAAAAUCAAAUAUCUUAUCCAAGCUGAACAUCUCAGAAAUAUGACCUCUUGGGCAGAAUUCAGCACGAUAAAGGCAUUUUUUUAAAUAUGUAUUUGAAUUUCCCUUUAAUAUAUUACAGAGGCGAAAUUUAAGACAUGUACUCGAACAGGUCAGUAGAGAGAGCUCUAAAUCAUUUGACUUCACAGUCAUGGAUAAGAUGAGAUAAAAUAUGCCUUUAAAAGUCCCACAGGGGGAAAUUCCAAUUAACAGCAGAAUUAAUACAGACACAAAAAGAGAGAUUAAAGGAUAAAGAAACUUAAAGUUAAAAAAAGAUAUGUACAUGAGCCUUAUUAUAUACAUGUGUACAUAAUAUAAAUAUAUACAAAUAUGAUUUAUUGCACAAUGAGGUUUCUGUUGUGGACACUCAAUGUUUAGAUUUACUUGCUGUGAACUAUGUGUACGUGAAUGCAUGAUUGUCACCUGAGUGUUAGUUUCGUGCAUUAGUGUGCAUGUGCUCAAAAAUUAAUGUGAUUCUCAAACUCUAUGUACACAGGGUCCGAGGAGAUUUAAAAGACAACACAGCAGCAGGGAAACAAUGGAAGAGAGAGUUUGAAAGACUGACUGAUAGACCGAGCCUGCUGGACUAAUCCACACCUGAAUGAGGAGUCUCGACCACACCAUGAGUCUGGAUGUAUCCUCUGUGGACGUGCUGAAUACAGUCAGGUACGUAUAUAAACACUCAUGAUGCAGCCAAAGCAAAAACACACAGCAGGUACACUGAAUAUCCACCUUCAUGGUCAAAUAACAGCCUAAAAGCACUCACAUACAGUACAUUGAUGUAUAUGUAUAUUUGGUAACACUUUAUUUGACGCCUAUCUCUAGAACGCAUUAUGAAUAUGUUUAUAAUGUGUUCUAGCACUGUACAACUAUAGUUAUAAACAAUCAUAAAUGAUCAUAAUGCUUUAUAGAAAUAAUCACAACACAUUAUAAAGCAUUUUAUCAUGACUUACAUUGUCAGGUAUUAUAAUGUGUUAUAGCUGUUAACAACAGUUGAAUUUCAUUAUCUAUGCAGGCAUUUUGUGAGUUGUUAACAGUUAUAAUGCAUUAUAAUACCUGACCUUGUAAGUCAUAAUAAAAUGCUUUAUAAUGUGUUAUGAUUAUUUCUAUAAAGCAUUAUGAUCAUUUAUGAUUGUUUAUAACUAUAGUAACAUAGUGCUAUAAUGUGUUUAUAACGCAUUACACAUAUAUUUAUAAUGCAUUAUAGAGAUAGGCGUCAAAUAAAGUGUUACUGUAUAUUUUUUAAAGCUCUUAUUUUUUGCAUAUACUAUAUUAAGGUGAGACAUUUUCUGUGCCUGCGUUGUUUUGGUGCAAGAUUUAUCUGUUUCAUUCAGUGAAAAUGUUAUACACCCAUAUGUUCCCUUUUGUCGCAGCAUUAAAAUACAAAGUGUUAAGAUAAGAUAAGAUGUUCCUUUAACAGUCCCACGGGGGGAAAUUCCGAAUUUACAGCAGCAUAUUACAGAUACAGAAAGAGAAAAAUUAAAAGAUGAAGAAACUUUGAGUUAAAAAAAGAUAUGUACAUGAGUCAUAUUUACAUAUGCACAGAAUUUACGUAAUAACAUGAUUUAUUGCAAAAGCAAAAAUACAAAAGUUUGUACAAUUAAGUGCACUAAUGUAUCUAGUUAUAGUACAAAUUACUUCUACAUUUAAGUUCUUAUACAAAAAGAAGAGUAAAAAGGAAAAUAUAUACAGUACCUGUGUCAAUAUUUUCUUCAAAUUUGGGGAUUUAAAGCUCCUGUGAGGAACUUCAGCGCCCCUGGUGGACAAAGUGCUCUUUACUGUUCUUGCCCUCUUUUUGCUCAAAUAGUGAUUUUUGACUAAAGGAGACAAAUGUGUCAUUUAUUGUCAAUAUUUUAUGUGUAAAUUGUGUGUAGGUGUUUUCUAUACCUACCCCCUCACACCAGAUUAAGGCUUUAAAAAUUAGGAUCUAAACAUCUUUAGCCUUGUUGCUGAUGUUCCUGUUUGCUGUUGGAUAUCAUAAAAAGGCACAAAACUAUUGUACGAGCAGUCUCAGGUAAACCUGCACUCUUUAACACAGACACUAAAAGCUGCUGGUCUGAUGGAGGUCAGGUUAUCUGAGUUUAUGCAUUCAUGUUUAAAACCCUGCAGCCUUCAGAGGAUAAAAACUCCCCUUAAAUAAUCUUUCUGGAUCACACCUUCUGACAUAAUCGCUGGUUUUAUAUCCCCAUUAUUAACAGAACAAACACACCGAACAGAAACAAAACACAAAUAAAUAAAAAACAGAAAAGCAAAACAUUGGACAAACUCCAUGGCUCAGGUGGCGAGCAGCCAGGCGUCCUGCCUCCCUCAAGGCCCGUCUGAUACGUAACAUCACAAUUGGCAAGAGGGAUGUGAAUCUCUGCGUUUCUCUUCCCCUCCUGUCUGUGCCUCACACACACACACACACACACAAACACAAACACACACUCACAUGAUGGGGUAGCAAUGGCAGAGGACCAGCAGUCUGUGCCAGUGGGCGUAGUGGGACUGCCGGGCAUGCUGGGACCAGCCUCGGGAGUUAAGACUCGCUGAACUACAGCUGCAACCAACCUGGACGCCGCCAGAGAGAGAGGGACACAUGCUCUGACACACUGCUACAGAUACAAAGACUGUCCAACACACACACACACACACACACACACACACACACACACACACACACACAAAGGCGUCUGUCUCGUCCCGUGAUAUGUGUCUCAGCUGUGCCAGCAUCCCUGUCCCCCCCUCAGGCCUGGACCUCCCGCGUAUGCCACCCCUCUCCACCCUCUCCUCCAUUCCUCCUCCUCCUCUGCUCCUCCCUGCCGGUAGCCUUUGUGGGCUAAUUAGCGGUGAAAUUGGUGAAUUGCAGGCUCGGGCACACACACACACACACACACACACACACACACACACACACACACACACACACACACACACACACACACACACACACACUCGUACAGUGGUUGAAUUGCAGGCUCAGGCACAGCAGUGCAGACACUUCAGCAUAGCCAAGCGCCACUUCAGCCCCUGAAAAGCCUCUGAAAUGGGGCACACAACACAAAGACAAGAGCGGAGAGGAGAAGAAAGGACAGAGGGGAGGAGAAAGAGCGAAAGACUGUUAGUUAGAGCAGAUGAAGGAAUAUAUCUGUGUCUAUUUACGAUUUCAGUCUGUUCUCACGAAUAAGUCGAUGAAAACAGCAACUCGUCAGGAGCAACAACAUAUGGAGGUGCAGCUCUGUCUUCUCUUGUCUUAAUGUGGAUUUGAAUUAAAGUGAUAUUGUUAUAAAAGUAGAAAAAACUGACAGGGUUUGGGUAAUGGAAGCUGGAGACUGGGGGUCAAUUCAUAUGUGAGACCAACAGGGAAUUUUUUCCUCAUUGAGAAACCUCGCCUGUAAAUGACCCAAAUAAUGAUCAAUUUUUAUUUGAAACAAUCUUUUCAAACUUAGAGAUAUUCUGGCGUAAAAUUGAUUAAGGGUCAAAAACACCGUAACACCAAGUUAAACACCCCCUCGAGAGAUGAAUGUUGUCAACCGCUUGCUUCUCUAGUUAUACCAACUUUAGUGACACCGCACGAUAGCAAUACACAGCGGUCUAAGGAGCCAUCAACAAACCUCAACCAAAAUGCCACUCUAUAGCCACAAAUAAUACUCAGAACAGCACCUAACUUCAUCAACAGUACAUAUAGGGUCCCAGCCAUAGCACUAGCCACCAAACAUCUUUUUAACUUUGCCUGAUUUCUUUAUCAAAGAGACCAAACAUAACUCCCCUACUCUCUUCGGCUUGUUUGUAGCAAGACCUCAUGCCAGUCCAUUACUGACUACAGUGGGGUGACGCAGCUCAAGGAAGAACAUUUAUGAACAUUUUUUCAUGAAAAUGCAAUCAGACCGAGACGGUAAGGCAGAAGAAGUACCACGUCUGCAGUGCAAAAUAAUUAAUAUGGUGAUUAUUACUUCAGAAAAAUGAUAAAGAAAUGAUCAUAAAUGUUCUUCCUUGAGCUGCGUAACCCCGCUGUAGUCUGUGAUGGACUGGCCUGAGGUCUCGCUACAAACAAACGGCUGCUGGAGGAGAAUGGGCGAGUUGUGUUUAGUCUCUUUGCUAAAGAAAUUAGGCAAAGUUAAAAAGAUGUUUGGUGGUUAGUACUAUGGCUGGGACCCUGUACGUACUGUUGAUGAAGUUAGGUGCUGUUCUGAGCAUUAUUUGUGGCUGUAGAGUAGCAUUUUGGUUGAGCACAUGGCUCUCUGUAUUGCUAUCUGCGGUCGUGACUAAAGUUGGUAUAACUAGAGAAGCAAACAAUCGGCAACAUUCAUCUCUCGAGAGGGUGUCUAACUCAGUGUUAUGGUGUGUUUGACCCAAAAAUAAUUUUACGCUAGAAUAUCCCUUUAAGAGUUUAUUGCUGGAUGCUUUUAUUUUGAAAUGUAUGCCCGUAAUUAUGUAAUGUAAUGUAAAUAAAUAAUCGUUAAUGAGUUAAAGCUCCCAUAAGGAAUUUUUUGACGUCAAAGAAAUUACCUGAAAUUUACAUUGAUACCUUAUGAUGUACAAAAGCAAACAGGACCAACAACAACAUGAUCAUUUUAACAUCAGCAUUAUUUUGAAUGGGUGUGUAUGUGGUUUCUGGUGCUUUCAUUGUCAGCCUCAAGUGGACACUUCAGGAACUGCACUUCUACUGUGGGUUAAUUGAAUCAGCUUUUCCACUGUCAUUGUGUGCACCAUAUGUAAAUCUAAAUGUAAAUGUUCUUUAUUUAUACAUCCCUUUAUAACAACCCUUUCAGUGAACCAAAGUGCUUUACAAUACAUAGUUAAUAAAAAUGAAUAAAUAGAAACAAUAAAAAAAAGAAUCAGAUACAGUGCAAUAAAAUAAAUUCUCACCAUGCUACUGGGUAUUAAAAGCCAGCAUAAAUAAAUACAUUUUCAAUUGAGAUUUGAAAAGGCCCAGGUCAGAAAUAAGUCUCAAAUCUUUAGUUAAAUGAUCCGUAAAUGAUCCCACUAAUGUCGGCAGGUGUUUGUGGACUGUAGAGGUCUUGGUGAGACACCUUUCAGUUAAAAACCGUAUUAAACCACAAAUAUGUGUUUGCUAAUCUGAUCACUUUAUUCCCUCUCAUUGUGUGAUUAUUCAUGAAACUGAUAUUUUGCUGACCGGUUGGAGGGAAAAGCAGAGAGGCAAACAAAUUGAGGUUCAUGAUGAGUUAAAGUUGUUAGGUUUAAAUAAUUCAAUAAGCUGACUGUGCAGGAUAAAAAAACAAGAAACCAUUUUGUGUUAAUUUGUUUGUCUUCUUCUCUGAUUUUGAUUCUCCACCUGCGGGGGAAAAUCUCACAAAUGCAGCGAUGUUUCUCUCCUCCUCUCAUCCUCACACUUUUCUUAUUUUAUGCUCAGCUGGGAAGCCAUGUUUUCUCUGUGACAGUCGAUCACAGCUCAAGAGGGAUGAGUCUGCUCUCCUUCGGAUUUUCUGUGUUUCUCUGAUUAUUUUGUGUUUUUAAAAAAUGCUACAGCCGCUCUCAAAUCUUUAAUUCUUUUCAUUCUGGUCCCUUUUUCCUUCCAGACUCCUUUUCCAGCCUCCCUUAUUUCCUCAUCAGAUCCCCUCCCUCUAUAAUUACCACUUAUUAAUCUUAAAUGAGAGCCCUAACACGUUGCAUGGUUUUAAUACAGCCUGUUAAUAUGGGAGGUAAUUUAUGGGGUGUGUGUGGGAUGGAGGGAUGAUGGAAUGAGCGUCGUCCAUCACAGAAAUCAUUACAGACUGAAGCCUCUCUUUCACCCUCAUUGUGUUCAAGAAAGAGACACUCAGUGACUCCAGGUGAGAGUCAGCUUACCUCAAAUUAUGCCAAAGCUACUGGAAAAAAGAAAGAUGACUUCCCUUUUACUUUUAAGAACAAAUACCGCUCUUUUUCUCCUUACCUUCAAAACAAAAGACUUCUUCAGAAUCAGACAAGUACCUGUUCAGUUCAGAAAGUUUCCAGUCAUGAACCUGUUUUCAGUUUACUUUCACAGCUCACUUUUGUGUUAGUUUGCAUGUUGCUGAAGGUUGUGUUUUCCUGUGAACACAAAAACCUGGAUUUAAAAGUACAGAUGCAGCUCAAAAAAUUGAAGAUUGUGAAAAAACUCAAAUCAAAUAAUUCAUCAAAAAUUGAAUUUGAUUGCUUUCAAAUUAUUUAAAAACCUGUACUUGAUUUAAAAACGAGAAAAGAUGACUUAUCAUUUUCUAAUUUCUUACUGCAAACACCUUUCCAAAAAGUUGGGACAGAGUUGUGUUAACCUUUGUGUUGCAUCACCUCUUCCUAUAAAAACAUAUCAUAAACAUUUGAAACCACGGAGACCAGAUUUUAAAGUCAUGAGUGUUUAAUGUUGUGGUUUCUGGUGUCCAUGAUUUCCAAAAAAUAUGUCAAAUUUUCCACUUUACUUCAGUUCAUCAUAAUUGAGCAAAAACCUUCACUUGGAUUUCUGGUUUAUGUUUUCAUUUAGUUUUAACCUGCAUCGAUGGACGCAGCAACGAAUUGUGUGAGCAGACAGUAGGUUUUGGAAGUGAUGCGGUGGUUUCCACUACAGAGUUAUGUCUGUUUUUGAUGAAGCAGUGCUGUUUGAAGGCACGAGUGAAUACUGUAGACAAUGAAAUUUGACUAAAACCAUAUUUAGUCUCUCACAGAGUGGUGAACCUCUUUCCGUCUUAGACCCUAGUCUAUCUGGAGUGCCCCUUUUAUACCAAGUUAUGAUACUAACCUGAUUCAGAUCCACUUCAUUACUGUAUUUUUCGGGUGAUAAAGCGCACCGGAUUGUUUGCAGCACUGUGAAUCAACGUGUCUAUGUUCACACAUAAGGCGCACCGAAUUGUAAGGCGCAUUAAGCAUUGUUUGGAUUAUUGUUGCCUGCACGUACUCCGGGCUGCCUUACUUGAGUGCACCUCUAGUUUAGACAUUACAGUCAGGCAGUCUUGUAGACUGCUCAGGGGUCUAGUUACAGGGCUGAUCAGGUAGUGACAAAGCAUACCGUAAUGCUCCAAAUAUCCAUUGAGCGUAGCGGCUUUGUUGCUUACCAAAGUCAUACUUAUGCAUUUCGACGGAUUUUUGAGUGCAUUGUAAUAUGGAAUCAGAUUGUACCACAUUAAAUCGGUCAGUAAGCACAACAAAUAAUCAUACGUAAGGCGCGCUGGAUUAUAAGGCGCACUGUAGAUUUUUGAGAAAAUUUAAGAAUUUUAAGUGCGCCUUAUAGUCUGAAAAAUAUGGUAGUUUGGAGAUGCUCCUCCAGGCGUUUAUUUUUUAGAAUAUCACAACUUUUUCAGUGUUUUGUUGUCCUCGUCCCUACCUGGGUAUUAGCACCUGCUCACAGUGCCAGAACUACAAACAAAUGAUUUGCUGGUCAUGCCACGUCACAUUACUGACAGUAAAUAUAGAAACUCACUUGGUAGAAGUUGGGAAUUUUUGUAUUAUCAAUAUUUUUAUUGGCCAUAGGAAAUAAUCUGAUAAUUUGCAAUACUGGAUUUCUCAUUUUUCAUGAGCGGCUUGAAAUCUUUGCACAGAUAAUCUUGCCCCAUAAUUGAUUGUUUUCCGUGGUUCACAGAGAGUCUUUUCAGAUCCCUGGUCUUCAGAUGGUUUAUCUGUCAGCACUGUAUCCCAUUGUGCUUGAAUAAAAGAAGCAGAGCACUGUUGUGGGCUGAACUGUCCUCCUCAUCCUUCUUUGGCCCAGCCGUCCCCCAGGGACACAUUAGUCUCUUAAUGCUUUGUCAUCAGCACAGGUUAAUGGACCUCACAGCAGUCUGUUAAAAAACACUCCUGAUCAAUACACAGUGUGUGCAGAAACGGAUAUCCUCCAAAAAUAGACCUACUGGACUUUUAAAUGGUGACGAGUCGUCAAUUUUUAGUGACAGUGGGGUAGAAAUAAUUACAGGAGCUGAUGGCUGAGAGCGCUGACAGACACUGGAUCUGUAAAUGAGUCUGACAGCAGUUUGUGAAAAAGAAAAGAAAAUACUACAAACUGGCUUGUGUUCAUGGGCACAAAUUUCCCUGUACUAACAAACAAGUGAGUCAGCAUGAGUCUAAAUUUGAGCUGCAACACUUGAGUGUCUGAAGAGGCCUGAAAAUGAGAUUCAAGUUAGACAGGGUUUUCACUGAAGAAGAUACUGAUUAUUUAUAAAACUUUCCUUUUAAGGACCCCACAGACUGUAUAUAAAAGAGGGUUUAGCCACAGAGGUGUCACCUAGCAACUACUUUGCACUGGAAAUUUGAGCUAGAAAGCUGCAGUUCCUAAGGCGGCCACUAGAGGCUGGUUCCAAAGGUGAUUCUGACCCCAUAGAGCACCAUAAUAAAACUCCAAACUUUAAAGCAUGAUUAAUCUUGUUCACAGCCUGGUAUAAAAACAGUUUUAGUUUAUCAGUUUAUUUCUCCAUUAAUGACACCUAAACACUGAGAAAAUAUUUCAGUAACUUAUCAAUUUAGACUUUAUUCUUGAAGGUCUUUUAAAUUAAGUAAUUUAAUGUAAAUCCAAUGAUAAAAUUGUAUAUGAAGGUUAAAAUAGUAAAAGAGCACCUUAUGCCAUUUUAUCCGUAGAUAAGGUGUCUGCAAAGGAACUUGAUCAUGUUUUAUCCUCUAGAGGGACGAAUUUCUAAACCAUUUUUACCAGACAUGAGGACACCAGAGUGGGUGUUCACCCCUCUUAAGUAAACCACCGCUGCCAGCCCUUUGCUUGGUCAUCCGUUGGUCUCUCAGCUGUGUUUGUUAUUGUUUCUUUGUGGGAUUUAUUUGCCAAAUUCUACGGCGGUAAUUGGUCUGUGUUUGAGUUCUCUCUGAGGUGUUAUUUUGGUGUUAUUUUGGCAAAAAGCAGUAAGUACUGGUGUGUAGAUAGAGACCUAGUUUGGGCUACUGCAAAUUCUAUAGUAUGGCUUAGGGAUGGGAAUCACUAGGGCCCCAUGACCCGAUAUUAUAACAAUACUUGGCCCACAAUACCAUAUCAUUGCAAUUUUUAACAUUUUGCAAUACAGUGAGUAUUGCAAUACAAUGUAUUGCAAUUUAUACAAUUUUUCAACUGUUUAGCUAAUUUAGCAUUUGUCUUUUUACUUUGUUUGUCUUAUUUACGCCAUAUUUUAUUUUCAUGUAGCACAUCUUGCAAAUCUUAUACAUAUUUGUUGCACUAACUUUCUCCUGCUCUAUGAUUUCAACUCUGCAAACCUCACUGAACAAACAGCUGAUUUAAUUUUUUCAUUAUCAUAGAUUUUACUUCAUAUUAGCAAUUUAUUUGAAAAAAUCAAUACUUGGUCAAUGAGACGAUACGAUAUAUCACCAGAAAAAAUAUCUAUGCUGUAUUGAUUUUUUUCUCCCACCCCUAGUAUGGUUGCAAAAGCAUUUUUACACUGGUCCCUUUAGAAGCUUGCCCCAAGUGGCCAUCAGAGGAACUGCACCCUCAGCCAUAACCUCAGAGGUCUCAGGGAUGAAAGGCGGAGGUCUCUUUCAAACAUGGAAAAACUUUCACAAAACUGUCUACCUCAGAAUAGUCAAACCGAUGAGUUUUUGUCUAUUUUUAUAGCUGUAUCUUCUGAAUGCCAGCACCAUCACUUGUAAAGUGUUGUGACGAGAAAAAUUCUUGAUUUGCUCUGACUUGAGAUAAUUUGAGCUUAUAUUCAAGUGCGACCACGUCGCACACCUGUGAACAAGAGCUGAACACCUUCAUUCCCGACAUUAACUCCUCAUGUGGCGAGGUUUAUUACAGAGCGCUCACCUCAGCUUGGUUUAAAGACAGAAAGAUUUAAUGUCGCUGCUUGUGAAGGUUGGCUGCAGGGAAAAGUAGAGCUAUAAAUAAAAAGCAGUGGGAAAUGAGGAUGACUGAAAUAUGGGAGCAAAUAAGGAGAGAGAAAUCAUAAAUGACAAAAGGGGAAGAAAUGGAGUUUGUUAGGAGAUGUUUUCAUGUAAUUUUUCAAGGCCUUUUAUUUAUUUUUUAUCACUAUAGGAAAAUAUAAAGUGAAGCAUUGUAGGAAAACUGUGUUAAGAUAUGGAAAACAAAGAAUAUGAUACAUCUAAAGUAUACAAAACCUGAAGUCUGAAUGUAUCUUUUGGCUAAGUGCUACUCCUUACCCCAACAUGUUUUACAACUUACCCCACUUGCAGGUUUUUGACAUCAUCUCACAAGGUUUUUGAUGACCUUGCAGAAGAUUGAAUUAGUCUCUUUCGUAGUGCACAAAUGUGGGAACUUCAUUUAACAAUAAGAAAAACUCUAGUUCAAAAAUUCAGUCAGUUAUAGGAACAGAAGCAGAAAGUGUUGCAGCCAUCCCUGGUCUUCCCUACAUCACAUCGCAUAUCUCUUUUAGAAUUUGAACACAUGAAACGAAACAAAGAAGAAAUGCAAAAAAAAAUCAUCGGUAUAUGAUCUCAGCAUUGGCUAAUUUCAUGACCUAAGCUUCAGUUUUGGUAUCAGUAUUUCAUAAUCACUCUAUCUCUGAUUAAUAAAGGCUGGACGACCAAAAUAAGGAUGCAAAUAUGUAAAAGAAAAAGAAGAGACAGACAUACUUGAUAUUAGACUUGCAAAGACUGCAGAAAGGAGCCUUUUUAAUUUUUGCAAAUAAGCUCUUUUGUGCCUCAUGAAUUUCCUCGGCAUCACUUUGUUUAGUUCAACUCUAACAAGAUAUAUUAAAGCUCCUGUGAGGAACUUUGGCUCGGGACAUUUUUGGCGCUCCCUGUGGACAAAGCAGUCUUUGCACCCCUCCUGCACCAAUUUUAAUCAUUAAAAUAUUGUCACUGAAGGUCUUGUUUGUUUUUGUACAUCUCAAAAAUGCAUCAGUAUGAAUUUAUAGAUAGACGUAAACAAUUUCCUAACAGGAGCUUUAAGUUAAAGAAGCAUCUUGUUGCUUGUUGCAUAGGAUUCGAUGCAUUUAUGAUGAUAGAGAUGUCUUGGUGCAUGUUUUGUAGGAAAAUUGCAGACUCUUUUGCGUGUUUUUGACCCCUAUAUUGUGAGAAAAAAAAUCUAAUAACAUCCUUAAAUUUAUGCGAUUCUUGGGACCUGAAAGUGUAGUAAAACUUGAUUUAUGGUUCUUUAUUGAAAGUUGAAAUCUAGAAUAAAAGACAGUGGAAAUUUAAGUCUGUGCAAAAGAGUUUUUUGGCCUCUGCAAAUAUGCGCCUGUUUUAAAAGCAUAGUUUCAUGUUGUUAUUUAGAGUAUCUCUGGUUUUUUUUUUUCUCCAGAAUGAGACACAAAGUGGAGCACGGAGG
Xyrichtys novacula (pearly razorfish) is the source of this 24432-nucleotide non-coding RNA. NCBI's taxonomy places the organism in Eukaryota, Metazoa, Chordata, Actinopteri, Labriformes, Labridae. The record is from the annotation of a GenBank genome assembly.